UGCGGCCUUAGAUCAGGCGCGCAACCAUCCUGGCAGCCCCCUGGCGUCCUCCACGUAGUGGGUUCAGCUGAUGUGGCGCAAGUCGCCUGGGCUGGUGUUACUUUGCCUGGUGAAAAUCUAACCUGGAUUGGAUUGGGGAGAUAACUCAUUUAUGGGUGGAAGCAAAAAAUUUAGGCCGGGUUACUUUGCCUAUGUGGAUCCAACCUGGGUUGGAUUUUUUUCCCACCGGUGGAUUUGCUCUAAUAUCCUUUCUAAUCCCACUCACUCUCACCCCGCUCUAAUUUCUCCCCGAAAGAAAAAAAGAGAACAAAAAUUAUUGAUACUCAAGUCAAGGGUUUUGGCUUCCAGAUCUGGUAGCCGUCACUGGAUCUCGAUCAUCUGCCUCUUCUAAUGGAUCAAAUGCCCUCAAGUCUGUUUCAGAUUGAAUUUUCCUUAUCUGUCCAAGUCAUCGAUUUAGCCUGCGAUCUCAACUAAUUUUUGAUCCUUCCUCCUCACACCGGGAAUCUAAUCUGUUUGGGUGUCAGAUGGCUACAAUUCUUUGCUGAUGAGGUAGCAUGGCAUCCGACAUGGAUGUUGCAGUUAGGGAAAAUGAUUUAUAUGAGAGCAAGGAAAAGCUAUAGCAUAUCACAGCUGGUCUCACUAUUUUCACUGGGCAAAAGAUUCAAGACCUUAGUUCGUUGCCGCAAAUGCUAUUUAUAUUCUUGGACAAGGCCAGAGUAGCAGCUUAUACUUUGUGACAUUGACUACGUAUCUUCGCCUUUGGCGGAAUCUAAUGAAUAUCAAGCACCUCUUUUGGAUCGACAGCCAAUGGAUAUCGAGUUCCCAAAGAGUUUUCUAAAGUGGUGAUGCAAAGAGCUAUUGCUGGAAUGAGACUUUUAAUGAUUUCAUGCUUAGCAAGACCUGUUGUUACUAGUACUUGACAGUUUUCUUGCUGGACAGUUUCUUCCAGGUAAGAUAAUCAUAUAACCAUUUCCUUAUGCUUGUAUGUUUAGAAUUUAUAUUGUUGCACAAGAAAACAUUUUAGUUGAUUUUUCAUAUUAUUAUGACUACAGCAAGCUUCCUCUAAGGGAUCCCUUUUUUGGGGUUAUAUGAGGGAUUAAGGAUUACACCAACUUUUCGAUCACCAUUUCCAAUCUUUACCGUUCAAUCUCUUCAUAUAUAUGAGUGGAUCAUUUCUGGAAAUUUUCAUCCCAAUUGGUGAUCGUUAAGGCUUUGAACUAAUUUAAAUCAAUAGACGGUUCAAAUCUGCCAGAUUUGAACCGUUCGUGCAAAUCGCAGUUUUGAGCACCAAAAGUGAUAGUGUCUUAUUUAAGUAAGCCACGCCAGCAAAGCCUACCAUUGAGAAAUUAGUGGCCAACGGGGCGGCUAUUGCUUUUGCACACCAAUAAUUUUUGUCUUUUCCAUCAAUCCACACCAUUGACAAUGGUGUUCUUAGCUCACUUUUGUGGUAGUGAUUCAAUGGUCAUCUACCAUCAUAUUCUCCCCCUGCAGUUAUAGUCCACCAGAAAAAACCCUAUGGUCAUGAAUGUGCAAUUCUUUACAGCAUCCUCAGAUAUUCACC
Fragaria vesca subsp. vesca is the source of this 1561-nucleotide RNA transcript. RefSeq lists it as uncharacterized. The transcript has 5 exons. The record is from RefSeq and is a predicted model, not a curated record. Lineage: Eukaryota; Viridiplantae; Streptophyta; Magnoliopsida; Rosales; Rosaceae.